GACAGAGGGUGCAAACGUUGUUCGGAAUUACUGGGCGUAAAGCGUGUGUAGGCGGUCUGCUAAGUCGGGUGUGAAAGCCCCGGGCUCAACCCGGGAAGUGCACUCGAAACUGGCAGGCUAGAGUGUCGGAGAGGUUGGUGGAAUUCUCGGUGUAGAGGUGAAAUUCGUAGAUAUCGAGAGGAACACCGGUGGCGAAGGCGGCCAACUGGACUGGUAUUGACGCUGAGGUGCGAAAGCGUGGGGAGCAAACAGG
This 253-nucleotide ribosomal RNA is filed under the name uncultured bacterium. RNAcentral's name for it is "partial 16S ribosomal RNA". It matches the Rfam family "Bacterial small subunit ribosomal RNA", at positions 524 to 776 of the family's 1533-position model. The record is from RNAcentral.